AAGUCGUAACAAGGUUUCCGUAGGUGAACCUGCGGAAGGAUCAUUAUACGUUUAUCCAACGUACCAACCAACGCGCUCUCGUUUAAACCGAGUCUGUGGGCGAGCUUUUCUUAGGGCAUCCAAAAUAUGGUGGGAAUGCAGCAAUGCGUUCUGUUUGGGUGUCCGAUCAUGAACUCGCACAUGGCAACCAUUUUAUUUAUACAUUUUAAAACGCAUUGUAAUCACUUGUACUAAUUACGAAAAACAUCUGCGCAAGCAGGUGGAAUUAAGACAUUAAUUGCUGAACAACUCUUAGCAACGGAUAUCUUGGUUCUC
This 315-nucleotide unclassified non-coding RNA is filed under the name fungal sp. RNAcentral describes it as "partial internal transcribed spacer region". The stretch from base 1 to 46 matches the Rfam family "Eukaryotic small subunit ribosomal RNA", at positions 1786 to 1831 of the family's 1831-position model. The record is from RNAcentral. Lineage: Eukaryota; Fungi.